GUCUAUAUGAAGUUAUAUAAAGUCUAACCUGCCCAUUGAAUUUUUGAAAGGCCGCGGUAUUUUAACUGUGCAAAGGUAGCAUAAUAAUUAGUUUUUUAAUUGAAAGCUUGUAUGAAAGGUUGGACAAAGAAAAAUCUGUCUUUAAUAUUUAUCUUGAAUUUUACAUUUAAGUGAAAAGGCUUAAAUUUAUUUAAGGGACGAUAAGACCCUAUAAAUCUUUACAUUUAUUUAUUUUUUAUUGGUUUAGAAUGAUUUAAAUGCUAAAAUAUAAAUAUAUGUUUUAUUGGGGUGAUAGAGAUAUAAUAAAAUAACUGUUUUUAAUAUAAAACAAAUAUAAUUGAUUAAUAAUAUAGAUCCUUUAUAGAGAUUAAAAGUUUAAGUUACUUUAGGGAUAACAGCGUAAUUUUUUUUGAGAGUUCUUAUCGAAAAAAAAGUUUGCGACCUCGAUGUUGAAUUAAAAUUUCUUUAUAAUGCAGAAGUUAUAAAAGAGAGUCUGUUCGACUUUUAAAAUUUU
RNAcentral lists this ribosomal RNA (514 nucleotides) under Munidopsis sp. 1 PCRF-2022b. RNAcentral describes it as "partial large subunit ribosomal RNA". It matches the Rfam family "Bacterial large subunit ribosomal RNA", at positions 1831 to 2597 of the family's 2925-position model. The record is from RNAcentral. Lineage: Eukaryota; Metazoa; Arthropoda; Malacostraca; Decapoda; Munidopsidae.